CAGUCGCCGCGGGAAUACAGAGGGUGCGAGCGUUAAUUGGAUUUACUGGGCGUAAAGCGUGCGUAGGCGGCUUUUUAAGUCGGAUGUGAAAUCCCUGAGCUUAACUUAGGAAUUGCAUUCGAUACUGGGAAGCUAGAGUAUGGGAGAGGAUGGUAGAAUUCCAGGUGUAGCGGUGAAAUGCGUAGAGAUCUGGAGGAAUACCGAUGGCGAAGGCAGCCAUCUGGCCUAAUACUGACGCUGAGGUACGAAAGCAUGGGGAGCAAACAGGAUUAGAUACCCCCGUAGUCCCUGUCUCUUAUAA
Molecule: ribosomal RNA, 301 nt
Filed under: uncultured bacterium
Lineage: Bacteria
Description: partial 16S ribosomal RNA
Rfam family: Bacterial small subunit ribosomal RNA
Source: RNAcentral